This 499-nucleotide unclassified non-coding RNA is filed under the name uncultured Paraglomus. RNAcentral's name for it is "SSU rRNA". It matches the Rfam family "Eukaryotic small subunit ribosomal RNA", at positions 591 to 1092 of the family's 1831-position model. Lineage: Eukaryota; Fungi; Glomeromycota; Glomeromycetes; Paraglomerales; Paraglomeraceae. The record is from RNAcentral.
CCAAUAGCGUAUAUUAAAGUUGUUGUGGUUAAAAAGCUCGUAGUUGAACCUUGGGCCUGGCUGGCCGGUCCGCCUCACCGCGUGUACUGGUCCGGCCGGGCCUUUCCCUCUGUGGAACCUCAUGCCCUUCACUGGGUGUGACGGGGAAGCAGGACUUUUACUGUGAAAAAAUUAGAGUGCUCCAAGCAGGCCUAUGCUCGAAUACAUUACCAUGGAAUAAUAAAAUAGGACGUGCGGUUCUAUUUUGUUGGUUUCUAGGACCGCCGUAAUGAUUAAUAGGGAUAGUUGGGGGCAUUAGUAUUCAAUUGUCAGAGGUGAAAUUCUUGGAUUUAUUGAAGACUAACUACUGCGAAAGCAUUUGCCAAGGAUGUUUUCAUUAAUCAAGAACGAAAGUUAGGGGAUCGAAGACGAUCAGAUACCGUCGUAGUCUUAACCAUAAACUAUGCCGACUAGGGAUCGGAUGAUGUUAAUUUUUUAAUGACUCAUUCGGCGCCUUACG